GAGGCUCGUGGAAUUUCUUGAGAAACGUGGCAUUACCCAUCUCUUUCCCAUUCAAAGAGCGGUGUUAACCCCUGUGCUUGAAGGGUGUGAUUUAAUUGCUCGUGCGAAGACUGGAACGGGGAAGACUUUAGCUUUCGGGAUUCCAUACUGAAGCGUCUUACUGAUGGUGAUGAACAUAGAAGUCCGAGAUGUGGGCGACUUCCUAGAGUUUUGGCCUUAGCACCAACAAGAAAAUUAGCAAAACAAGUAGAGAAAGAAAUUAAGGAAUCUACACCUUACUUAAACACCGUGUGUGUUUAUGGUGGAGUUUCUUACAUUACCCAACAAAUUGUCCUU
Molecule: long non-coding RNA, 336 nt
Organism: Eucalyptus grandis
Lineage: Eukaryota; Viridiplantae; Streptophyta; Magnoliopsida; Myrtales; Myrtaceae
Exons: 3
Source: RefSeq, a predicted model, not a curated record